UUUUUUUUUUUUUUUUUUUUUUUUUUUUUGGCACUGCUCUCCUAAGUGCUAAUUCUGUCUUGCCCCAGUUUACAUGGUAGUGUUGCAGCCUCUCAGGGAACCUGUAUUCUCUCGAAGUAAUCUUCUAAGUGUGUGUGUCUGUCUGUGGAUUACCUCAUUUAGCCAGUUCUAGCUAGGAGUCUCGCUUGUGGCAAGUGAUUUGGGAACAACUGCUCAUUAGCUCUGGGAAAAGAGGUAUACAUACAAUCAGUGUGUGUGGUGCGUGCUUUGGGUCAUCCCCUUUUAAAUGAGAUCUGGAAAUAAAGUGCUCUCUCUCUGAGCUAACUGUGAAAAUGCAACCCAGGAAAGAAACUGCUCUGCUUGACCAGGAGACCAUUUCUCACUGUAGACGCAGUGUGUGGAACUGUAGUAAAGGGCAGCGGUAAUUGACUUUGCAUUUGUCCCCCACCCCCCACCCCCAGCUUCAGUGUCCUGGCUUCUGCAUCCUCUGUGUUGCAGGCCUGAGUUUACCUGGGAGGGGGUGCUCUGGGCCGAGGUCUCUAGACUUUUUCACCCUUCCUCUGUUACUCUUCCCUGGCUGUAUUGCUCCCUAAAAGAACAAAUUGAAACACAGAAGUGUUUUCCUUGUUGCUCAGGUAAUUCCUCACGUAUGCAAAGCGGGUGCUGAGCCUCACAGUCCAACCUCUUAAGGGACAUCAGGCCUCGCCCCUCGUCCAUCCUGUGCUCAAUUUCAGGCUCCUGGCCCCGCUGGCCCACCAGGCUCAGGGGGACUGUGACCUUUCAGCCAGCUUUCUAGUGCCGCUUUCUGUUGACAAGUAACAUUAGGUUUUUUUUUGUUUUGUUUUGUUUUGUUUUUGUUUUUUUUUUUUUUUUUUUAAUUCCCUGAGCAAAUGAGGCCACUCCCAGAGAAGAAACGAGUUGCUUUGCCCAAGCAUCACAAACAGUGCGUGUUCUGAGGACAGUAAGCUUAAUUUUCAGAGACAUAAAUCCACAUAUGUAUUUCUUCUGAUUUCUUCUCUUGCAGGCCACGCACUGCUGAGCUAAACUGCUGGUUCUCCUACUGAGUUGACGAGCAGCCUCAGUCUGUGCCAAUUAAGGGGAAAUUUCUUUGACUUUAAACCAAAAGGAAGGGAAAGUCAGAUUCGGUUAAACCACAAAGAAGCCACAUGCUCUCCUGUGCUCAGUGUGUCCCCUAAGCCCAGAGAACAUGCAUUUUGCCCUGUAUUCAAAGCAUCCCAGAAGGGCUAGUGGAAUCAAUUGCUCUCCCCUUUGGUGCUGUGGAAGCCCACUUCCACUCUCUGCCACAAGGACAGUUAUGCAACCUGAGGCUGAGUAGUUAAGUAUACAGUGUCCUAAGUUCAGAAACAUGGGUAGAAUGCAGACAUCGAGGGGAGUGCUUCCGAAUGGAAUGGAGGCGAGGCACGCAACAGUGACCAAGAGAGGAACGCAGGAGUAGGUGUGGGGUCUGCACACUGGUGUGUGUGUGCCCCUGUAUACACUCUAGGUAAGAUCCCUGUGCCUCCACUGGGAUCAGUGUCCACACCCUCCCAGCCUAAGAGCUGCAGGACUCACGUGCUUGGCUUGAGGCUGGACUCCUUCCUUCUGGCUCUGAUAUGGGUGGGGAGCCUCAGCUGCUGGCUGUGCAUAGUUGGGAGAGAGGGGAGUUGUGGUAAUGGUGACCCCAGUGAUGUCAAUAGAACAAGUUGUGUAUUUUAUAUGUAUUGUAACGAGCAACUGUUUGUUAUUAAAUCGUGACGGAUGAUAAUGUAAGUGUUUGGCUUUAAUGGAACACAUGGCCCUUGCUCUUUGAGACUUUCUUUUCUUUUGUCUUUGUACUAUUAUAAAAGUAGUAUAAUCACAUUGCUUUAGAUAGGGGAGAAGCCAUGGGGGAAGAGAGACUGAUUUCUCAUCUUCACACAAACGGGUCAUCUUUGGCAUUCUGUUUUACUAUUUAAGCUUUUCAACUUAAUGUUUUGUGCUUGUUCAGCUCCUGUGACCCCAUUCCGCUCUUUCCACCAUUACCAGAGCCUGGCGGACUCCUGCUGUUUGCACUUUGUAGCACUUAGGGCACGUUUCUUAACGUCAUUAAGCCUUAUCUCCUUUUCUGUAAAAUGGAAGUAUUACUGACUUCAUAGAUUAUGAGAAAUAAAUGAUACGAUGUAUUAAUAUUUAAAUCUAUAUAAAGUUCCUAAUGUAUUUAAAGAACUUAAUUCACUGCUUGGCUCAUGGUGAAAUGCAGCCAGUCCAUGUCUAUAUGUAUAUUUAUAUCUACGUACAUACGUAAGAUGUGCAUUCAGCUAUGGGUGUGUGCAUAUGUGUAUGUGUAGACAUAUAUGUAUAAUGGUUUUUGACUUCUUUUAGAAAUGAAAGCAUGAGUUUUAUUUCCAAGUAAGUGCGCCUCCUGGGAUGCCCGUGGGAGUGCGGACGCCUGGGAUAAUGGCUUGGGAUGGAAGGAAGCUAGAAGACCCGCAGUCAGCGAAGCAAGUGACUGCGAUGCCUGCCUCCCGGUAGCAGGCUCAUAUCCAGUGCUGCUGUCCACUGGUUUUCCUUGUUGUGGCAAGUGCUAACCUUUGAAGAAUGUGUUCCCAGGAGUGGCAUCUGUUAACGACACUAACCUCAUCAAUGCUGCCUGUACUGCUCUUACUUUGUGAUUAUAAUAAACAUUUUAUGGGAUAAAA
Molecule: long non-coding RNA, 2678 nt
Filed under: Mus musculus (house mouse)
Lineage: Eukaryota; Metazoa; Chordata; Mammalia; Rodentia; Muridae
Description: predicted gene, 50462
Source: RNAcentral